Molecule: long non-coding RNA, 438 nt
Filed under: Androctonus crassicauda
Lineage: Eukaryota; Metazoa; Arthropoda; Arachnida; Scorpiones; Buthidae
Source: RNAcentral
UUUGUCUUUAUGAUAACUUAAUGUUGUCUGCCGAGCCAGCAGUAUGGAUUCAGACUGUAUUAAGAAUUACAUCAAGUUUAAGAAAAACUUAUUAGAGUGGAGGAAACUUAUAUCUAUCUAAAGGAGUGCAGAAUAAAUGACGUUCUGCCAAUGUCCAUUCACCGAAUCACAUUACCCAUAAACUCCAUAAGGAUCUUAAAGAACACUAAAGCUAUCUGCUUUAAGUUUGCCUUAUCAGAUGCAAAGAGAAGGUUCUAUCAUCUUAAAACAAUUGUAAGUAAUAUCUUGAUUGAAUUGAACACACUACAUAAUGCAGACGUUAACAGCUACAUUUUGAACUUUGAUAUCAAAAUGACUUCUUUUCAAAAUAGUCUCCGUAUAAAAUAUGUUAAGAAAUUAAAAUGGGUUUUCAAGAAUCAGCUUUGAGCUAAAACAACC